AGAUGCAGUGUCAGUGAGCGUCAGCGUCAAAGCGUCCUGUACGGCGUCGGCGUCAGCGUCGGCGUCGGCGUCAGCGUGCGUAGCGUCGGCGUCAGCGUCGGCGCCAGCGUGCGUAGCGUCGGGGUCGCGUUCGACGUCGUGGGCGUGGCAGCUAAGUUCAUCGGCGGCAGCGGUGAGGAAGGAAGUGGCGGCGGCGGUCUGAGAAGUCGGAGGUCUGCGAGGAAGCAGAGGCCGGAAGCCUCAGUGUUCGCUGGCAACGGCUGCAGCGGCAGUGAACCAGGAAGCCAGGAAGCGGCUGCUGUCGUGUGGGCGUCCCGUGGGACGUGGUGCUCUGGAUGGCGCAGAGUUACAAGAGAGGCAGAUUCAGAGAAAGAGAGAAGUCUUGCAUCUGCUGGUUCACUCUCCACAUGGCCACAACAGCUGGAACUGCAUCAGGAGCCAGGAGCUUCCCUCAGGUCUCCCAGGUGGGUGUAGGGGCCCAAGGACUUGGACCAUCCUCUUCUGCUUUCCCAGGCCGUAGCAGAGAGCUGGAUCAGAAAUGGAGCAACCAGGACUCAAACCAGCAUCCAUAUGGGAUGGCGGCACUGUAGGUGGUGGCCCUACCAAUUAUGCCAUGUCACUGGCCCCAGAAUUUCCAUUUUAACAUUUUUUCUUACUUGCAUUUCCAUCGAAGAAGGGGUUGAUGAUGACAUGUUAGGAAUCUAUUAUUAAAUGAUGGAUAACAGCCCUCCUGCAUUACUCCUUGUUUCCAGCUCCGGCAGAUUGAAUUUACAAAUGGUUUUGGUGCUUCUAUCACACAGUAAAUGAUUUUUCCAAUGUAAGCCAUAUUCAUUCCUAUUUUACUCAAUUUUAGCAUUAAGACUUAAUGAUAAUGCUAACUAAAUUUUUUUAAAAAAUUUAAUUAAAUUGCAUUUGCAUAUGAAAGUGGAGGCAAUAUUACCUAGUUUAUUCUACUUCUAAAUAUACAUAAAAUAUUCUUGAGGAAACAGGAUGGCAGUCAGGUUAGAGAGGGCUAGUUCUUGAAAAGAAAGUUGUAAUACUUAAUCAUUUAGGAGCGGCCAUCUGGAAGUAUUGAUGCUCUUCAUUCUUCACAAUUAUUUAAUUAUGUUCUAGGUGGCAUUUCUUUUUUUUUUUUUUUUUUUUUGGACAGGCAGUUAGACAAUGAGAGAGAGAGAAAGGUCUUCCUUCUGUUGGUUCACCCCCCAAAUGGCCGCUAUGGCUGGCACUGUGCCGAUCCAAAGCCAGGAGCCAGGUGCUUCUCUUGGUCUCCCAUGCAGGUGCAGGGCCCAAGCACCUGGGGCCAUCCUUCACUGCCUUCCCGGGCCACAGCAGAGAGCUGGACUGGAAGAGGAGCAACUGGGACAGAAUCUGGCGCCUCAACCGGAACUAGAACCUGGGGUGCCAGCAUCGCAGGUGGAGGGUUAGUCAAGUGAGCCGCGGUGCUAGCCUAGGUGACAUUUCAUUGCUUGAUGCCUUUUGUGGAUAUAUCAUACUUUAUACAUCCAGUUGCUGAAUCACAGUAAUAGGCUGAUUCCAUAUUUCAGCUAUCGUGAGUAGCACUGCCGUCAACAUGGAAUGGAAAUAUCCUUUUGACGCACUGAAGUCAUAACCUUUGAACACAUACCCAGUAAUGGAACUGCGGGAUUUUACUCAGUUCUUUUUUGCUAGAGAGACUCCCAUACUGUUUUCCAUAAUGGUUGUGCUAAUUUGCCUUCCCACAAAUACACUAAAAAUUUCACCUGUCUUGAAAUCCAUGCCACCCUUUGUUAUUUUUUGUUUUCUCCAUGGUAGUCACUCUAACUAGAGUGAGAUGAUAAUCUUAUUCUGGUUUUAACUUGCAUUUUUCUCUUGAUUAAUGAUGUGGAGAAUUUUUUUAUGUAACUAUUGGACAUGUGCAUGUCUUCCUUUGAGAUGAGUAUGUUAAGUUCUUCAGCCUAGAUGAAAAGUUGUUGUUUUUUCUGGUUUUUUGUUUUGUUUUGUUUUGUAUUUUUUAGCCCUGGGUUUUUUGAGAUAAUUGUGUAGUCUGGAUAUUAACUCCUUGUAGAAAACCUGAGGGGAAGUACAGUGUGGCAUUGUAUUGGGGACAGGUUUUGUUACUUACUUUUUCACAUAGAAGCACAGGCUAGACUGGCCUGGGUAGGUGGCUCAGGGCUGCUCCCACACCAGGAAUCUGAAGCAGUGUCAGUGGCCACGGGCUUAGCAGGUUGGAGCUGGAUGGACUUGAUGCAAGGUGGUGGGCACCACUGGCACAGCACCCCGGCUGGCCACAUGGGGGAAAAGGCCCGGGCCCUGCUGCCCACGUGUGACUCUUGGGGUCUUGGCUGCGUUGCCACUUUGUCCCGGGAGGCCCUGCUACAUGCUGCUGCACUCUAGGAGCUGGGAGCCCAACAAUGCCCUGCAGGUCUAAGGAGCCUGCCCUGGUCCCUGCACUGACUGGAACCACUGGAGAAUGAAACAGCCCCAGAUAAUAGCACUCAUGGGCUUGAACAAGGAGCUCAGUGACCUCCUGGACUUUAGCAUGAUGUUCCUGCUGCCUGUGGCCAGUGGAAAGGGCUGGCCUGUCUCCUUGGCCAGCGCACAGUUCAGAGGAGCAGGUCCGGAGGACUGGCCUGGUAGGGGCUCCUGGGACACUGGCGAUCAGAACACCUCCUCCUUCAACCCCGGCCAGAGCUACAGUGAAGGACCCACUUCAGUGAGUCCCAUGGCAGCCUUUCUUGGUUCACAUUCUUGGGACCUGGGACCUGGGCUUGGAGGCAAGGGCGGUCAGUGGGGCCGGGUACGUAUCCCAUCUUCUGGAGAGACACGGCUGUUGGCAGCUUGACUCAGGUCAGGUUCCUGACUGGUGAGCUGGCCCUCUGCAGCCCCGGGCCACUGUCCUUCUCAGACAUCAAGGGAGCACCCAGUACAAUGCCUCCUAACCCAGCAACCCUUGGGGCAGAGCCUCAGGAGGCCACUGGGCCCAUAGCCCAAGAAUGUCCAGAAGUUUCUACUUGUUCUUCCUUCCUCAUUGUACCCUCCCACCCCCAAUAUAAUAAAAAUAACUUUUUUAGAUUUAUUUAUUUGAAAAACAGAGUUACAGAGAGACAGAGAAAGAGAGAGAGAGAGAAAUUCCAUCCACUGAUUCACUCUUAAAAUGGCCACAACAGCUGGAGCUGGGCCAAUCCAAAGCCAGGAACCAGGAGCUUCUUCCAGGUCUCCCACGUGGGUGUAGGGCCCAAGCAUUUGGACCAUCUUCUGUGUUUGGACCACCCUCUGCUGCUUUCUCAGGAAUAUUAUUAGCAAGGAGUUGGAUCAGAAGUGGAGCACCCAGGACUUGAACCGGAACCCAUAUGGGAUGCCGGCACUGCAGACAAUGGUUUUAACCAUUGCACCACAACACUGGCCUCAAUAAGAAUCACUUUCUCUCUCUCUCUUUUAAAAUAGUCUUUUUUUAACAAUUCUUUUAGAUUUUUGUUUAUUUAUUUAAGAUAUAGCAUUACAGGCAGUGGGAAGGGGAGACAGAGAGGUCUUCCAUUUGCUAGUUCACUCCCCAAAUGGCUGCAAUGGCUGGAGCUGCACUGAUUGGAAGCCAGGAUCUAGGAGCUUCUUCCAGGUCUCCAGUGCGGGUACAGGGGUCCAAGGGCUUGGGUCAUCUUCUACUGCUUUCCUAGGCCAUAGCAGAGAGCUGGAUUGGAAGAUGAGCAGCCAGGACUAGAACGGGUACCCAUAUGGGAUGCCGGCGCCACAGGUGGAUUAACUUACUGAGUCACAGCACCAACCCCUGAAUCACUUUCUUUCUAAGACCAGACUUCUAAGAAAAGGCCAGGAAAAGAAACAGACAAUGUUGGACAUCCGGAAAGAUGUUAAAGACGCGAUUGUGACAAUAGUUUCGGCGAUGAGCACCAUUAGACCCCCAGUUCCACUGGCCAACCCGGAAAACCAGUUUCGAUCAGAUUACAUCAAGAGCAUCGCACCUGUCGCUGAUUCUGAGUAUUUGCAGGUAGGUAGGUCAGUCCUUUCCAAAAUACUUUAAACAGUGACAGAUGGAACUAUUUUUAACGACUUGCUCGUUGAGAAUCAGGUGUUAAUUCAUUAUGAACUGUCUUUGAAAUCUGGCUCUCUGACGGCUUAAGAGCAGUAUUUCCUCUAUUCUGAAAUACUUGUCUUGGUUUGAAAUAUUGAAGACAGCGGGACUCUAAGAAAUGCUUGUAUGAAUGUGUGGGUGAGGCUGAUAAGAAGACAGCAUACCUUUAAGAAAUGUGAGAAUGCUUUUUCCUGUAUGUGUUGUUAAAGUUACAGGCAGCUUCCCAGAUAACAACAGUAGGAAUUCCAUGAGAAGGACAUUGACGGGGUAUAGUUGCCUCUCAAGGAAUAACAGAACAGAAUUCAGUUUCCUGUUCAGAUGCGCAUGUGUCACAAGAGCACUGGCCUCUCCUGAAUGUCAUGUGUCAUGUGAAGGUGCACUUGGGAUCACACCUGCAUGCCCAAGGCCUGCUUUCUCUCCGGGUGGGUGGCAGUGUGGCUUAGGCAAAAGGUCAUCCCGGUAUUUGCUUUCUCUCCUUUGAUGGACAUAGACUUCUUGAAAUAUUAUUACUGGAGCAUUUGAUAGAGCGUGUUUCAAAGGAAAGGAUCUGUCAGGUUCCUCAGGAGGCUGUCACAGUUGCAUUGGUAACCAUGUGUGUGUCUGCGCCUGUGCUCUUGCAGGGAAUGGGCUUGUCAGUGACAGUGCUUCAGAGUUUGUGCGCUUGGCAUGGUGGUUCCUGCUCAGAAUCCUGUCUUUGAAGGGAAGUUCUUGCAAAAACCUGUGUGUAAGACAGAGCGGUCUUGCACUGCCCUGACUGAGGGCCCAUGUCACCUGCUCGCACCUGCUCCUUCUUCUUGACAGAGCACUAUGUCAUCCUGUGGAAUCUGUGUUGGGACGAUAGAUAAAAACUACUUUAAAAAAAAAGCUUUUAUUUGCAUGCUCUGGUGUAAGUUUUGCUUCUGAAAAGUAUUCCAGCAUAGCCAAUGACAUCUCUAGAAUGUCCGUAAAGGAGUUAGGGCGUGCGCAGGAAGAAGGAAGAAGGGGCUCGGACAUCUGGCCCGGCGAGCUCACUGGUUUUACUGAACUGUGUCGUAAAUUGGGCAGCUCACAGAGGGUCAAGGGGCUGUUGUGGCAGGUGGGUCCCACGGGUCCCACAGGUCCCACAGCAGGACGAUGUCCUCCUGUUUUGCUAUGAUACUUUUGCAUGUUGAAGAAAUCACUCGAAACUACAAUCCUGGCUGAUACCAGCAGUGGCGUCCCAUUCAGCCCGCAAUUUAAACAUUUAGAGACAAAAUUCAAGUCCUCCGGUGUGUUCUAUCAUGUCUGCCUAAAAGUAAUCAUAAAAUCUCCAUAUGUUUAGGGAAAUUAUUCUUAGCAUGUAGUGAGAAAUUAAGGUUAAGAGUUAUUAACCAGUCCCAUGUUGUUUUUCUUCUGUACUUGACAAACUCACGGGUGAUGAGGGCUCUCAUAAUCAAUCAAGAAUUCAGAAGCGGUCAGUAACUCUCACAUGUAUUAUCCAAGGAAUCCAAAGAGCCUUGCUUGUGAAAGUAGUGUUUGAGCUAAAUCACAAAUAUUUUUAAUUAAUAAAUAAAGCUUGGGGAACUGUUUCCUUUGCAUACAUGUAUUUUCAUAUAGACAUGGUAAGAGUCUUUAAAAGUGAUUUUCUUUUUUUUUUUUUUUUUUUUUUUUGACAGGCAGAGUGGACAGUGAGAGAGAGAGACAGAGAGAAAGGUCUUCCUUUGCCGUUGGUUCACCCUCCAAUGGCCGCCGCUGCAGCCGGCGCACCGCGCUGAUCCGAUGGCAGGAGCCAGGAGCCAGGUGCUUUUCCUGGUCUCCCAUGGGGUGCAGGGCCCAAGCACCUGGGCCAUCCUCCACUGCACUCCCUGGCCAUAGCAGAGAGCUGGCCUGGAAGAGGGGCAACCGGGACAGAAUCCGGCGCCCCGACCGGGACUAGAACCCGGUGUGCCGGCGCCGCAAGGUGGAGGAUUAGCCUAUUGAGCCACGGCGCCGGCCUUAAAAGUGAUUUUCAGAAAACCAUCUUUUAGUAUCAGUAGACCAAAGGAGAAGUUGGUACCAGCAGAUGCAAAUGCAGUUAUAAUCCUCUCUCAGGAACAGUGCUCUGCCCAGGGAGGGUAGUUACUUGUGUUUUUUUUAAAGCCUAACAUUCUAUUAUUUCAUAUGUCUGUUCUUAACAAAUAAGAGUAUGUUUUACUUAUAAUAUAGUUCAGACUUAAAUAAAUAUAAAUAUUAAUAUACAGUAUUCCUUCUAAAAUGCUACUGUUAUUUUAAUGUUUUCCAGUUUUCAAUGCCUUGUUUAUCUUGCUUUUUUUUAAAAAAAGGUUUAUUUAUUUAUUUGAAAGGCACAGUUAUAGAGAAAGAAGGAAAGACAGAAAGAGAGAUUCCCUGCACUGGUUCACUCCACAAAUAAGGCUGGGCCAGGCCAAAGCCAGGACCCAGAACCUCCAUCCAUCUCCCAUGCAGGUGCAGGGGUCCAAGGACUUGGGCCAUCUUCUACUGCUUUCCCAGGCCAUAGCAGAGAGCUGGAUCGGAAGUGGAGCAGCCCAUAUGGAAUGCUGGCACUUCAGGCCAGAGCAGUAACCCCCUGCACCACAGCACCAGCCCCCAAAUCCCUGAUUUCUCUACAUAAGACCCUGGGCCGGGCCAGUGCUCUGCCCUAGCAGGUAAAGUCACCACCUGCAGUGCCAGCAUCCCUAUGGGCACCGGUUUGAGAUCCGGCUGCUCCACGUUUGAUCCAGCUCUCUGCUAUGGCCUGGAAAAGCAGUAGAGGAUGGUCCAAGUGCUUGGGCCCCUGCCACCCAUGUGGGAGACCUGGAUGAAGCUCUUGGCUCCUGGCUUCGGCCUGGCCAUUGCAGCCAUUUGUGGAGUGAACCAGUGGAUGGAAGACCUCUCUCUCUCUGCCUCUCCUUCUCUCUCUGUGUAACUCUGACUUUCAGAUAAAUAAAUAAAUCUAAAAAAAGAAAAGACCUUAGGCGUAUUCAGAUGAAAUUUCCUCUUUUGAAGGAAUAUGUGCUUUUGUAAACAUAAAAGUUGAGCUGAAUCAAGUAUUGUAAUAGUAAUUUUUUUCAGACUGAAUCUUUGAAAAAGUCUGUCAGUAUCACCUGCCAAUGAGUUGAGGAUCUUGAGCUUAUUUUCCUAGAGGUACAAAAUAGCUUUUGAACCCAAUGUGUUCUGUUAUUAAAAAUUAAUUUCAGAAGGAAAAAUCACAAGAAUAACUUUUCUUAGAAGUGUCUUCAGAAUUUCCUCCAAGAGUGUGAUCCUGGGGGUAACAAGAAGGUAGAUUCCCUUUUGUUCUUUUUCUCAUUGUACUGCCUUUAAUUUGAAUUUCAACUGAAGUUGAUGAAACUCUGGUUGUAACAAAAAGAAGGCAGAUUCACCUAGCUCCUGCCAGUGAGACCUCAGUGUUAGAGGUUAGACCAAGCCAGAGACCUGAUCUCUUCGGGCUGAUAACCCAAAGCCCUUCCAGGAUCCUCUGCAAUGGUGUUGUCCGUUUUGGUUAGCAGUGGGCCACGUCUCUGAACAUGGUCUUCCAUGCUGAUAACAGAACUGAAGAAUUUUUAUUGCCUAGCAUUUUUCCUGUGCCUUUUCUGUGGGUAGAUACACAAAUAUCAACCAUUAUGUUACAGUGGCCUACAGCAUUCAGGGCAGAGGCAUACUGUACAGGCUGGUAGUCUAGGGGCAGCAGUCCAGACCACACAGCCCCAGUGUGUGGUCACCUGUGCCGUCCAGGUCUGUGGAAGCCCACUCUCUAGAACAUCACCCAACAGUGCAUUGCUCAGAAGCGGUCCCGUUGCUAAGCAACACACAGCUGUGUAUUAAGUGAUUGUCUCAUACCAAGAUCACUCUGGCUGGGGCGAAGACGUAUUGAAAUGGGCAAGAGUGGAACCACUCCGGAGGGUACCCUAGUGACCCAGAUGGAAGAGAAGGGGACGACUGGGCUGAGGUGGGGUGGGGUUUAUUUUGGGGUUUAUUUUGGAAAUAGAACCAGUCAGGCUGGCUGCUGUGUGGGUGUGGAUAUGGAGUCACCAAGAGUGACUCUGAGUGGUUGGGCAUGGAUCUCUGCAUCAAUGAUGGCAGCAGGUUAGGGGAGGAAGGUGUGAGAGGAGUUGCUGUUUUCUGGCCAACUGCACACAGCUGUUUGGACUCCCAAGCAGGGAUAUCAAGGGGCUGGUUGGCUUUGUGGGUUUGGAGCACAGUGGGAAGGCUGACCCAGAGGUGGUCUGGUGCAAAGGAUCAUUUAGGGAGACUCAGUGGCUACCUGUGUGAAGAGGGCCAGGGGUCAAGGAUCCAGGGAGCUGUCCAUCAGGAGAAAGUAGGACAGUGGUGCUGUGGGGGCCCUGGGAAGAGCUGUUUAAGAAGGAAAGAAGGGAUAGGCUUUUGGCCUAGUGGGUAAGAUCCCCACAUUCCACAUCGGAGUGACUGGGUCCGAACCUUUGCUGUGGCUCCUGACUCCAGCUUCUUGCUGGCAGGCAGCAAGCAAAUGCUCAAACAUUGGUCUCUGUUACCCAUGUGAAAGACUCAGACUGAGUUCCCAGCUCCUGGCUUCAGCCUGGCCUAACUGCAGGUUGCAGAUUUGGGAUGUGAACCAGCAGAUGAGAGAUCUUUGUCUGACACUCUGUGUUUCUCUCUCUCUUGCUCUCUCUCUCCCCCUCUCCCUCCUCUGAUUUAUAAAUAGAUGUCAAAUGCAGGCAGACAAGUCAAGAAGGGCACAGGCACUGAAGUAAUUUGGCCGUGGCAGCUUGAAGGUCACCAGGCGGGGUGUUUUGAGGAGGGGGUGCAGGGCAGUCUGGGCUCUCCAUUGGUUUGGGUCUUAAGGAAUGCUGAGAAGCCAGGCAGCUCAGAGAAGCCAAGAGAGGUUUUCUGUUGAGGUGGAAGGGGCAAAGCCUGCCCAUGUGCAAAUGGCCUGAGUAGUUUGAUGAAGAAGAGACAGCGACAGUGUGGCUGCUGCAGAGCCUGCCCUGAGAGGGAGAAGGGGGCUGGGACUCAGAACACAAAGGGAACAGACUGUUGAUCAUGGGAGUGCAGAGGACAGGUGCAGAUGCAGGUCAGUUUUCAGAUGUGACAGAGAUGAGGGAAGACUUGUUUGCAAGGCCUCUUAAAGAGCAUAGGCAUUGCAUGUGAGAAUGACUGGUCUGGGAAUUACCCGACAGCUUCCUUGUCUAGUGCUUGUUCUUGUUCCUGGCUGUGAUGAGCAGCGAUAGAUAGGUGAUGAGGUCCAUGACCUCAAGCUCCAAGGCAAGUGACAGACAGGUGUUCCCUUCACAAGACAGAAGUGUGAAAGGCUCUUCUUACCAAGGUGUCAGAAGCAAAGCAUCCAGUGUCCUCACUCACUCACUGACAAGAUACUUGCAGCUGAAUAACAUAAGACUUUGGGGGGCAAGGCCAGUAUAAUAUGUGAAAUUUUUAUUUCAAAUGAAAUAAAUACAGAAGGACUGUGCAAUGUGUAAAUCAUAAUCAAAAGGAAAAGUACUGGUAUUAGCUACCAGUACUCAGUUGACCAUUGUCUGGUUAUAGUUUUGAUUGUCAUUAGUGCAGCCAACACAGCAGAUCAUCCUGGCCCUGAACUUGGCUCUAGCAUUAGUUGGCACCAUGUGUUUCUUGCCAGACUGUGUGCCAUAGAGCCCCCAGCAUAUCAACACACUAAGUGAUGGGAAUGGGUCUUAGGGAGCCACAGUGGUACUCAUUGACAUCAGUCAACUGAUCAUUUAUGAAACUGGAAAAACACGGUUCAUCCCCUACCAAAAAAAAAAAAAAGAGAAGAAGAAAGGAAGGAAAGAAAAGAAAAGAAAAAAGGGAAAACCCUUAGCACAAUACAAGCAAAACUACUGUUGAAUUCAGUUGAAUUACUCACUUGUUUGACUUUUCCUCUUUAAAUGUAGAUAUUACAUUAGCUCUUUUUAAAAAAAUAUUUAUUUAUUUUGUUUAUUUGAAAGAGUUAGAGAGAGAGGUAGAGACAGAGAGAGUCAGGUCUUCCAUCCACUGGUUCACUUCCUAAAUGGCCGCAAUGGCCAGAGCUGAGCUGAUCUAAAUCCAGGAGCCAAGAGCUUCUUCUGCGUCUCCCACAAGGGUGCAGGGCCCAAGCACUUCAGCCAUCCUCCACUGCUUUCCCAGGCCAUCAGCAGGGAGCUAGAUUGGAAGAGGAGCAGCCGGGACUUGAACUGGCACCCUUAUGGGAUGCUGGUGUUGCAGGCUGGAGCUUUAACCCACUGUGCCACAGCUCCAGCCCCUAUAUUAUCUCUUUUACAAUUGUGUAUUCCUAGAUUUUUCUAAGGGGAAGACAGUAAGUGAGGCUAAACAAGAAAUGCAAAAGCAGUCAGUGCUGUGUGGUUUCUGCCUGAGAGCUCCAAACUGGCAUUUCAUCAUUGUAGCAUAAAUACACAGAGGAGGAGGCAGGGACCACCACCCUCCAAUGAGAGUAGCCUGUGUCAAGUGGAUUUGGUGCAGCUAACACACAGUAUUCCCUUAGGUAACUGGCAAAGAAUAUCUCUGUGGACUGGAACCAGGUCCCAGAGAGCCAGGUUGCCCAUGUAAGACGUGGAUCCACCACUCCCUAAAGGAAUGACCUUGAGCAAGUAACCUUGAUCUGUGCAGUGUUCCUGCUGUGGCCAGUGCUACCUCAUAGGACUCACAGUGCUCAAUCUCAGCCCAAACUGCCCAUGUGCUUGGUCCAGUCUCCUCCGGAGCAGGUGAAGAAUUUCUAGAAUAUGUGUCAGUCAUCUAAGAGAGUGGCUUUGUGUGUGUGUGUGUGUGUGUGUGUGUAAUCAACAUGAAGCUCACUAUGGAAAUGAGGUCAGAGUGAGUUCCUCCCAUGGGAGCCCAAGCUACACCGUGCUGAGUACCACCUCCCCAGCAUUGUUGAAAAAUGGUGGAGCAGCUGCAGAGGAUACUACAGAAAAAUUGGUGGAGGAUAUUUGGCCUUACUGAUUAGGGUGCUAGUUAAGACAAGACUACACUCUGUAUCAAAGUGUCUGGAUUCAUUGUCUGGCUCCAGCUUCUGACUCCAGCUUCCGACUCCAGCUUCCUGCUACUGCAGAUCCUGGGAGGUACUUGUGGUGGUUCAAGUGAUUGGGUGCCUGCACUCAUAUGGGAAACCUGGAUUGAGUUUCCACUCCUAGCUCCAGCCACAGCCCAGCCUUUGCUGCUGUGGGCAUUUGGAGAAUGAACCAGUGGAUGAGAAAUCUCUGUCUCUCUGCUUCUCAAGUAAGUAAACAAAUUUUUAAAAGAAGUUAGUGGGAAAAUGCAAUUAGAAGGCAAGUUUGGGGGAAGUCCCAUGGCUCACUUGGUUAAUCCUCCGCCUGUGGCACCGGCAUCCCAUAUGGGCACCGGGUUUAGUCCCGGUUGCUCCUCUUCCAGUCCAGCUCUCUGCUGUGGCCCAGGAGGGCAGUGGAGGAUGACUCCCAUUGCUUGGGCCCUGCACCCGCAUGGAAGACCAGGAAGAAGUACCUGGCUCCUGGCUUUGGAUCGGUGCAGCACUGGCUGUGGCAGCCAUUUGGGGGUGAACCAAUGGAAGGAAGACCUUUCUCUCGGUCUCUCUUUCUCACUUGUCUAUCUAUCACAUAAAAAUUUUAAAAAAGAAGGCAAGUUUAUUUUGGUGCAAAAAGAUUGAAACCCAUAUUUAUUUGAAAGGCCGAGUGACAGAGGAAGAGAAUGAGAGAGAGAAAGAUUUCCCAUUAACUGGUUCACUUUUCAAAUGGCCUUUAUAUCCAGGGCUGGGCCAGGCCAAAGCCAGGACUCUGCAACUCCAUCCAGGACUCCCAUAUAGGUGUAGGGUUGGUCCAAGCACUUGGGCCAUCUUCCACUGCCUUCCCAGGCACAUUAGCAGGAGCUGGAUCAGAAGCAAAGCAGGAGCCGGUGCUGUGGUGUAGUGGGUAAAGCCACUGCAUGCAUCCCUUAGGGACACUGGUUUGAGUCCCGACAGCUCCACUUCUGAUCCAGCUCUCUGCUGUGGCCUGGGAGACCUGGAAGAAGCUUCUGUCUACUGGCUUUGGAUUGGUGCCAUUCUGGCCAUUGUCGCCAUCUGGAGAGUGAACCAGCAGAUGGAAGACCUCUCUCUCUCUCCCUCUCUCUCUCUCUCUCUCUCUCUCUGUGUGUGUGUAACUCUGACUUUCAAACAAAUAAAUAAAUCUUAAAAAAGAAGAAGCAGCAGAGCAGCCAGGACUUGAACUAUUUCUCUCAUAUGGGAUGCCAGUGCUGCAAACAGUAUCUUAACCUACUGCAACUACUAUGUCGACCCCUAUACAUGGCCUUGUUGUAAUACAAGUUUUUCAGGUCUCCUAGCCUGGGUGCUACCUCUGUGCCUUUGAGGAGGCUGAGGCAGGGGAUGUGUGGAGCAUCUCCUGGGGUAAGAAGACAACAGGGAGCUCAGGAGACACCCUCAGAAUCUCUGAGUAUAUGGCCUGGACAGCAAUCAGGUCAUAAGGGGAGAUGCUGGAGCCAGCCAUGUGCUUGUUGCAAGGAUUCAGUAUCUUAAUAAUUGAGUUGUAUACCUUUAAAAUCAGUACUACAUUCCUGCUCUGCACAGAGAAGUGGGAGCCAGACAGAGUCAGCCAUGUCCUCUGUUAUCAACUUGGGCCAGAGUAGCCUGUGAGCUCUGCAUGUCUCAGUUGAUCCAGCCUAGAGACCCUGGAAGUGGAACAUGGGCACCCAACUCCUGUGGACUCUUUGGAUCCCAUGGAGAACCAGUUGAACCCUACAACUACUGUGACUCAAGUUGAAAUUUUUUUAAAGAUUUGUUUAUUUAUCUGAAAGGCAGAAUGAGAUAAAAAGAGAGAGUCUUCUAUCCACUGGUUCUCUCCCCAAUUGAUCACAAGUGCCAGGGCUGGACCAGGCUGAAACCAAGAACCAGGAGCUUCUUCUGGGUUUUCUAUGUAGCUGAUAGUACCCAAGGUACUUGGGACACCUUUUGCUGCUUUCCCAGACCAUUAACAGGGAGCUAAAUUGGAAGUGGAGCAGCUAAGACACAAACCAGUACCCAUAUGGAACACUGGCAAAACAGGUGGCAAUUUAUUGCACUGUACCACAAUGCUUGCUCCUCAAGUCAGCAUUUACAACAGUGUAUUCCUUUCCAGGCCAAGAACUGUCAUCCCCACACCUCACAACCUUCCUGAGGGCAGGCACCCCUGAUUGUCUCCCAACGUCGUUGGGCCCUACCUGCUUAGGAAUUCUGCUUUGUGCCCUCCUCUGGCACAGGUCCCAAAGAGUUGUUCAAGUACCUGGAUGACUGACCUGCACCUCAUUUCCCACCCGGUCUCUCACCAGCGGCGUCCUCCCCUCCACAGGAUGGGCCUUCCCCCUUCAGGUUCCAGCAUAUUUACUUCAACUGACUGAUGUUUUCUUUGUUUCCUACCUCUCUGCCCACGGUCAUCCCACACUUCUGAUUCUGUGACCUACCGAGCCACAGGGCCCCUGAGCCCAUGUGGGGCCAGCCUGCAUCUGCCAGACCCCUGCUGCACUCCUUGCCCUACUCUGUGGGGCGACAGUUGCUGUCCAGUGUCACCCCGAGUGCCAACAAGAGCCUGGCUGGUGCUCCCAACCCAGCACACCCUUGCUUCAUGCUGUCCAGAGAUUUGAAGCAGAGGAGCAUCUUGAACUCCAGUAUUGUCAGCUUUUUGAAUUUUUGUAAACAAAAUAUUUUGUAAAAAUUGUAGGCUGUGUUUUCUAGCUUUUUUUUAAGAUCCUAGAAAAGGUUCCUCCUUUGAUGAACAGUAGUCUUUCCUUUAAAAAAAAAAAAAGAUUUACUUGUUUAUUUGAAAGACAGAAUUACAGAGAGAAAGAGGCAGAGAGAGAGAUUUUCCAUUCACUGGUUCACUCCCCAAAUGUCAACAACAGCCAGAGCUGGGCCAGGCCAAAGCCAGAAACCAGGAGUUUCAUCCCAGUCUCCCACGUGGGUGCAGGGGACCUAGCACUUGGGCCAUCAUUGACUGCCUUCUCUAGUGCAUUAGCCAGGAACCGGAUUGUAAGUGGAGCAGCCGGGACUUGAACUGGCACCCAUAUGGGAUGCCAGCAGUGCAGGCAAUGGCUUAACCUACCAUAGCACAGCAAUGGCCAGGUAGUCUUUCUCAUUCACAGCUCUCAUUUUAUCUCUGGGGAGUGCAUGCUUUCAUUUUAGACUCAGGAUGGCCACACUGAUUCUAUAAGGAAUUACAAAACCCAGACUUUAAAGAUGUGUUGAAAAUGGACUGUGAGUGAGAGAGACCACCUGGUCCAACAGCUCCAGCCGAGGUCCUGAUGGCAGAGGAGGUUAAGAACUUGGGAGUCUGUGUGGUUCCCAGGCUAUCUGUGGGGUGUCCUGGCAAUUGGCAGGGAUGGAGCCUGGCCUCUCUGGCUCAGUGCCUUCCCACUCUAAGGCUGGAACAGGUAGUGUGUGAGCAGUAGGCUCCAGUGGAGGAGCGUUGAGGUCCCUGUUGUGGUUUAUAUAUUAGUUUUGGGGGUUCCCAAAGGCCCACAUGUUAAAGGCUUGGUACCCAAACUUUUAGAUUAACUAUCAGUUGAUUCAGGGUGGAAACUUAAUCCAAUUAUGGCAUCUGAAGGUGAGGCCCUUGGGAAGUGAUUGGAUUGAGUAGGUUGUUAAGAGUGGAGCUCCAUGUUGGAACCAUGGAACUGUGUAAGGUGAGGCCCCAGAGACUCAGAUAAUGAGCACCCUCCCAGUUCCUCUGCCUCCUGGGCUUCCAGGUGAUCCCUCCUCUGCACGUCUCCACGAUGCUGCCCUGCAGCCUCACCAGAUGGCCAGGCCGAUGAGGCCACCUGAUCUUGGACUGUGAACCUCCAAAACCAUAAGCCACAAUAACACUCCUUCCUUCCUAAGUAGCUUCUCUCAGGCAUUUGUUAUUUGACACAUUGGCUAACGCAGUCCUUGAGACCCUGACUGCUGAGAGUGUAAAGAAGGAGGCUCUGCACAGGAUGGGUGAGUGUCCUAGGGGAGGUCACGGGGGCUGCUCCGGCUGCUUCGUAAUUGUUCAGCAAACUUACUGAGUGUUAGAUGUGGAGUGGACUCAGACUUAACAAAUACAGGUACAGCUGCUGUGUGGUGCCACAUUUGAGGGGUUAAAAAGGGAACACUUAGGAGCCCACUGAAGCACUCACCCAGCUAAUUUCAUGUGGAACUGAACCUCCCGCCAAGGGUGAGAAUAUCCAAGGACAGGUGGACCGCCUCUUCCUGACCCACAAACAGGCAGCUAAGGCAGGCUGAGGGCAGGUGCGGGAGGCUCACAGGGUGGAGAAGGACAUGUGCAGCCGGCCCAGGGCACCAGGCUUCCUCCACAGACUGUGAAGAAUGGUUUGGUGGCUUCCAUCAGGAGAGGUUCAAAAGGCGAGCUCCUGAAUUCAUAAAGACCGCACUUUCCUGUCUGUGUGGGAACAGCUCCAGGCUGUGUGUCAGAGCAAAGGCCUCUGACAGAAACCUACUCUCCAAGGGCUGUGUUGGCUCUUAGGGCAGUGUGACACCCCUGGGAGCUGUCAUUUAUUUUUAUUACCGUUAUGCUUAUCUGUAUCCUGGUAAAGGGAAUUUCCUCAUCACAGUAAAAUAUUUCAGUAUUUUAGCAAGCAUAGAGCUCAAUAAAGACUUUUUUAAAUUCCAGUUUUUCUUUGAAAUAUUAUCAUAAAAGAUAUAUCUAAUGAAUGUUAGCUUUUUGUUUUGAAACAAUUUUAAUUUAUACCUCAAAUGCAAAGUGAUACAAAAAAAAAUGCCCCAUGUCUCCCCCCAACCCUACCCUGACUCUUAAGUGCUCAUGUCUGGCCACAGCUGAUUUCUCGUCCCACCUAUGCUAACGCACACUCAUAUCUAGCCACAAUCCCACAGCUGGUCUCUCAUUGCAUCUGCACGAGCCCACAUUGCAUCUGCACGAACCCACAUUCAUGUCUGGCCACAGCUGGUCUCUCCUCCUGCCUGCACUAACACUCACCAGUGUCUGGCCACAGCCGCUCAUCCCAUCUGCCUUAGGACAAGGAGAUCCGUGCACACAAAUACAGUGCAGCUUUCCAGAUAAGAUGAUUUAACAUUCAAGCAGCAUUUGCUUUAUAGCCUGUAAUGUUACUCAGAUUUCCCCGAGUCCCGGUAAUAUUGGAGGAAAAUAGUAGCAGUAAUAAUAAUAAAUUAUGAUAAUAGUAACUCUGGUCAGUAGUCCAAUCCAGGAUCAAGCACCACAUGCAAUUUCCAGUUCUCCUGGACUCUAGAAUGACCCCCCAGCCUUCCUUUCCCAUCACAAUGUUGAUCUGAGCCUCACUUUGUGGAUGACCCCAUAGGGAGCUCACGUGAUGGUGACUCCACUGGACUUUAUGCUUUGGCAGGUUUUGCAGAGAAGUAACCCAUGUCUUUCUCAGUGCCUCUGCGAUGCUAAUUCUGGUCAUUUACUGAAGGGGGGAGGUUGUCUCCACAAAGGUACCUCUGUUCCCCUGGUAAUUCCAAAGUCAGUCUUCAGAAUAUCUUCUGAGGCUGCUGUAGGACCUUGUGCUUUUUUUUUUUUAAAGAUUUACUUAUUUAUUUGCAAGUCAGAACUACACAGAGAGAGGAGAGGGAGAGGGGGAGAGAGAGAGAGAGAGAGAGAGAGAGAGAGAGAGAGAGAGAGAGAGAUCUUCUAUCCAAUGGUUCACUCAAUUGGCCACAGUGGCUGGAGCUGUGCCGAUCCAAAGCCAGGAGCCAGGAGCCUCCUCCAGGUCUCCCGCAUGGGUGCAGGGACCCAAGAUCUUGGGCCUUCUUCCACUGCUUUCCCAGGCCACAGCAGAGAGCUGGAUCAGAAGUGGAGCAGCCGGGUCUCGAACCAGUGCCCAUAUGGGAUGCAGGCACUUCAGGCCAGGGCGUUAAGCCGCUGUGCCACAGCGCCGGCCCCAAUAGUACCUUGUUCUUAACAAAACUUUCACAGUCUAGUUUUAGCCCACUGAUAAUUUUGAACCAGCAUAAGAACUUGAGGGGGGAAGUUGCGGCCCAGUUCUUUUGACUAUUUGUCAGUAUGUUUUUAUUGUGAGAAUAAAGUGGGGUGGAGAUCGUGCUGCUGUGUCACACGUAUGCACAGCACUGCAGGCUUGCUGUGACAGCAUGUGGGGCAUGGACCAGAAGGGCCAGUGUGAAUCUCCAUCACUGCACCAAGAUGGCGGGACAGGGGCUGCACAGCAACUUCUUUUUAAAGAUUUACUGAUUAACUGAUUUGAAUGGCAGCGUCAGAGAGAGAGAGAGAGAGAGGUCUUCUGUCUGCUGGUUCAGUCCCCAAAUGGCCACAACAGCCAGGGUUAGGCCAUGUAAAGCCAGGAGCCAGAAACUUCGUCAGAUUUCCCACAUGGGUGGCAGGGGCCUAAGCACUUGGACCAUCUUCCGCGCUUUCCCAGGCGCAUUGGCAGGGAGCUGGAUGGGAUGUGGAGCAGCUGGGACUUGAACCUUGCACUCAUAUGGAAUGCCAGCAUCGCAGACAGCAGCAGGAGUGCAGCCCAGCACAGCAACUUUCAUGCAAAUCAGUUUUCCUUAUGGAAAAUACAUGUUAAGAGUCAUAAAGUAAGACAGCUUUUUUUUUUUAAUUCCCUGGAGAAGAUGUCAUGGAAACCUCAAAUCUUUGGAAAGUGUGAUGGUCAGCAAAGCAGCCUGUUGUUUCCAGAGUGCACCUCCAGUCUGAAGGUGUCGGGUUUGUUGCUCCUCUUACUUGAGGGGCCCGAUCACCUGCAAGGACACCUGCUCCUUUCAGAGGAACAGGGCACUAAAAAUACCUCAGGAUGGGAGCACUUUGUCCUUAUCACUGCUGAUUUUAUGUAACUCUGAGACAAUAUUUGAAAUCUCCAGCUCUCUCUGGGGACGCUAGAAGGAGUAGCCUCUUCUUAGGCACAGACUUAAAUGAGCCAACCCAUGUAGUUUGGGAGUGAGGCACACUAUGAUUUUCAGAGGCACAGUGACAAAGUUGUCCCUGAGAAGCUUCUUCUGAAAUCCUCACUUUUCUCAUUGUUUUGUUUUUUUUUUUUUAACUUUGGCACCAGAACAUCAUUCAUGAAGGUAUAGGGUUUUUUUCCUUCACCUCUUAAAAUAAUCUCAUAUUUUUCUCUGUCAUUUAUUAUGAAACAUAGAUUGAAUUGAAUCAACUUUAAGCAUAACAUUCUCACUGCACAAAGCAAGUUCAUUUGUUUAAAAACAUUUAUUUAUUUAAGAGGCAGAGCUACAGACAGAGAGAGGGGGAGACAGAGAGGUCUUCUAUCUGCUGGCUCACUCUCCAGAUGGCCUCAGUGGCCAGAGCUGGACCAAUCCAAAGCCAGGAGCAACGAGUUUCCUCCAGGUCUCCCACAUAGGGGCUGGGGCCCAAGCACUUGAACCAUCUCCCCCUGCCUUCCCAGGCCAUUAGCAGAGAGCUGGAUUGAAAGUAGAGCAGCUGGUCCUACAUCCUUCCUGGAGAAAAGGCACUCUGUCCCUCCCACAUCCGUUUCUGUCUCACAGACCUUUUUGGAGAUUUCUGCCCAAGCAAGGACCCCUGACUUCCUCCUCUCUGUCCCCUGUGUCCUUGUGCUUCUUCCCGCCAAGGGAUGGCCCCUCCCACCCUCAAAACUUGGCCUUGUCGACUGCUUGCGUCUUCCUCUAGCUGAACUAAGAUUCCCAAGAACACAGUUUGCAUGUUGUAUAGUUGUUCUUAUUUUUUCCUUUUUUUUUUUGUUUUAAAGAUUUAUUUUAUUUAUUUGAAAGUCAGAGUUACACAGAGAGAGAGAGGUCUUCCCAUCCACUGGUUCACUCCCCAGAUGGCUACAAAGGCUAGAGCUGCACCAAUCCGAAGCCAGGAGCCAGGAACUUCUUCCAAGUCUCCCAUGUGGGUGCAGGGGCCCAAGGACUUGGGCCAUCUUCUACUGCUAUCCCAGGCCACAGCAGAGAGUUGAUCAGUAGAGGAGCAGCUGGGACUAGAACCGGCUGCCCAUGUGGGAUGUCAGCACUUUAGGCCAGGGCUUUAACCCACUGUGCCACAGCAUUGGCCCCAGUUGUUCUUAUUUACAUAUUGAUUUGCCAAAGGCCGUCUUCAGCACUCAGUGUGCGCUGCAUUAAUGCUAAGAUAAUGAGUUCAACCACUAAGGACACCGUUCUCCUGGCCCCUUUUUAAGUCCCUCCAGUGAAGAAAGGCUAGACAGAUGCAGAAAGCCAUUCAUGCGUCAUAAUUUGAAGUGCUUGUCUUUUUACUGUCCUUUUACUCACAACUAGCCUUGUCGAGUUUUGCCACUACACCUGUGUUUACUGGGUGUGGGGACCCUGUCCUCAUUGUCUGGCACAUCAUUUGGCAUGUACCUGUGUGUGCUCAACGCAUGCAGGAUAAGCCAAUUGUCUGCCGUGUGUUCCACGCUGGCCUCCGCACCGUGGGUUACACAAAGAAUGCGAAAGUUGCAACCUCCAGCCUCAAGAGAUUUACACCUUAGUGAAGAAGCAAGGUGAACGUGACAGUACUUCAGAAAGUUCAUGGACACAUUGAAUUAUGAGAUACGUUAAGUGGGUCAGGGCCUGGUGGUUAAGAUGCCAGUCAGGACACCCGUGUCUCAGAUUGAUGCCUGGGUUUGACAGCCAGCUCCACUCCUUAUGCCAGUUUCCUGCUAAUGCAGCCCUGGGAGGUUGGCUCAGGUUGGGUCACUGCCACCCACAUAGGAGACCUAGCUUGAAUUCCCGCUCUUGGCUUCAGCCCCAGUGCUUCCCUGUUGCAGGCCUUUGGGGAGUGAAUUGGUGGGAGUGCACUGGCUCGCUCGCUCUCUCUCUCUCUCUCUCAAAUUAAAGAAAAAAGGAGAUGGAGGAAUGUUGUAUUGAGAAGCAAGAGUUAGAUGGGACCUAGACUACCAAGCCUGACUGGAGUUUUAUUCAUUAAAAAAAAAGAAAAGAAAAACUGGGCAUGAACAUGGCAGCUGAUGACACAAAAGGAAAACAUGGAAGUGAGAAGGAGGCACUGGCAGACAGUGUGGUCAGGCCUUGGCUCCGCUGCUCAGGAAAUCACAUCCCAUCACAGACCCAGGACUGUUCCUGGCACAGCAGCACCCCCUCCUCAGCCAUGGAGGCAGAGCGUGGGCUGGGGCGCAGAUGAGCCCGGAGUCCACAGAUUCCUUCCUUGGUGUUCAGAAACGUGGUACCUGUCCUCGUUCAGCUUUAAUGGUGGAUCAACUCACUGUGGCACUCAGUGCAACACACAUACAUACUUAGUGCUUAAAGAAACCUUAGUAAUGAAAAAAAAAAAAAAAGAAACCUUAGUAAUGGUAAUAUAUUCAGGAUGGAUUCUUAUUUUUUUUUUCAUUUUAUAAGCUUAGACUAAGCAGGAAGAGAUAAAUAAACAAUGGUUGCUUCAUGCAUAUCCAAUGCAAUUUUUUCCACCACAAUCUUGUUUAUCCACAUACAUAUCUAAACCACGCACACGUACUCAAAACAGGCAAGGGUUGCAUUAUCCACAAAACAGUUAUCCGAGUUGUGGAUGUUGCUUUGAAAAUAUUGCCCAAAUGCUGCACUUUGCUCAUUGACUGUUCUUCAAAAAUGUCUAAUGACAAUGAGACAAAACAUUUUAGAGUCAUCAUUGAAAAAAAAAAAAGAGAGAAAAUAUAUUUUCUCAAUUUUCCACCCUGCUACCACUACUCAUAUGAGGAUGAUAUAUUUUGUAACACUGUAUUCUUUUUUAAAAAAGAUUGAUUUUAUUUAUUUGAAGUACAGAAUAACAGAGAGAGGGAGAUGCAGAGCUAUUCCAUAUGCUAGUUCACUCCCCUAAAUGAUUAUGACAGCCAGGAGCCACGAACUCCAUCCUGGUCUCCCACGUGGGUGGCAUGGGCCUAAACACUUGAGCUGACUUCCACUGCCUUCGUAGGCACAUCAGCAGGAAGCUGAAUGGGGAGCGGAGCAGCCAUGACUCAAGAAUCAGCACUCCAGUGUGUCAAGCACCUGCCCAACCCACUGUCCCACAACAUCAGACCCCAUCACUGGGUGUUCUUGAUUGUUCGUGUAACCGUCUGCCCAAUCCCAGAUGAAUAGCUUUCGGCCAGUAUGUACAUAGCGAAAUGGCAGUGGUUAAUUGAAUUUUCAUUUUCGUAAAAGUAAUGUUGAGAAUGUUACGGGGUUAUUAUAAGAUUGCACUUAUUUUUAUCCUCAGCGGGUGCCGUUACUCUAAAGAACAGCUUUUAUAAGACUGCAAGUCAACCAAUGUGAGAAACUACUGGGAGGGCUCCAUCUUCUAUUUCUCAAGUCUCUACUCCUUAACCAAUCCCCUAAAUUUUGACACUAUCUCAGUGUUCUGUUACUUUACAAGUCAAAUAGUGUGAUGUGUCAUUUCAAGGUAUUUGGUUUUAAAUUUCUUAGGGGUAUUUUAAUAGGUCUUAAACUGUUGUAUUGAUUUUUUAGUAAUCUAUGUAAUCCUGGAAUCAUAUGUUAAUCAGGAAACUGAAAUGGCAUCUUUAACCGCUGGCAAGCUUGUCAUCAGUGCUCCUGGUUUCUUCUGUUAACAUGUCAUAAUUAAUAAGUAGUACCUCAUAUCACCCUAUGAAUUUCCAUAAUUUACUGGAAGUUAUUAUGUUUCAGUGUAACUGUUAACAGUUUGGUUGGAAUGGGCCUUUGGUUCAGUUUUUCAAAAUGAUUAUAUGAUAUGUGUCAAAAAUCAUGUGUACACCUUAGGAGUUCCAUCAGGCUGCACAGAUUCAGUCCAGAAUUAGAUCACGAUGUAAUGCAGGUGAGAGGAGGGUGGGCUUGGCGGGGCCCUUUGUGGGAGCACUCAAGUGCUGUCCUGUGGGGGAUGAGGCUUGAGCUGGUCUUUGAAGAAUGAAUGAGGUCAGCAGGUAGACCAGGGAUGGUGAUGACUGCAACACAGCUGGCACAGCAUCUCAUGCAAUUUAGGAUGCAUCUGAGGGGGCCCCAGAAACCCCUGCAGCCUAGGAGGAAAGUUGAGAAUGAGGUUAUCCUUAAAGGAAGAUUGUGGAAAGAUACUCAUAAAGUAAUGGAGUCCCUUGGACCAAAUUUAUAGGUAGUUAACUGGAGCUUUUACACUUGCUGCAAUAUAAAAUUUUAUGGUAUGAAUGUGGUGUGAAUAUUAUGGUAGAAAUAAGUAGAAAAUACCAGUGCAAGUUAAUAGAAACUCACAAGAAAUCAGGAAAUGUGUGUUCAUCAAAAAAAAAAAAAAAAGGUUGCUUUAAAAUUGCCCUAGUUGACACUUGAGGGUAAAUGUAAAACUGUUCAGUACAUAAGUCAAGUGAAUGUUGUUGAUUAACAAUUAACACUCUUAUUUAUGACAUCAAUGAUCACCCGAGGCUUUUGUCAUGAGCUGCCAAGGCAAUGGAAUCCUUUUGAGUUCACAAACUGCAUCCUUAUUUAGACAGGUGAAUGUUUUCUCUUCCCUUCAGAGAAAGAGACCUCCUUUUUUGUUGGUCCCUUCUUUCCGCUGGGAUCUCACUGACAGAGAUCUUUCAUGUAGGCCAUUUUUUUGCCACAGUGUCUUGGCUUUCUGUGCCUGAAAUGUUCUCAUGGACUUUUUAGCUAGAUCUGAAUGACUUAUUGACUGGUUCUGAGGCCAGAGUGCUGUUUAGCACGUUUGCCAUUCUAUGAGUCUGCUGUGUAUCCUGCUUCCCAUGUAGGAUCAUUCUCUCUUUUUAAUUCUAUCAGUAAGUAUUAGCAGACACUGGUCUUAUUUAUGUAAUCCCUUUGACACUUAUUCCUAUCUUUAUGAUCAGUUAUGCACGUAAAAUGAUCACUUUAAUAAGAUGGCAGUAGUACCUGCCAACUUAAUAGGAUUUGGAAUCUUGUGACAAGUAACUUGGUAUCAUUUCUUGAGACUUUUUUUGGAGAAGAAAAUAAAUAAAAUAAUACCAAAAAUACAAUAAUAGUUUUACACAUGUAAUUAUUUAAAGCAUUCAUUUCUGAGUAAUGGUGAAUUGUUCUGUCAGCAUACAAAGUUUAUUACUGGUCUCACCUCUGCCUCCUUCAUCUCUGUAACCUUGGGUGGGUUAAUUAGUAUCUCUGUGCUCAAUUU
Molecule: non-coding RNA, 22947 nt
Organism: Oryctolagus cuniculus (rabbit)
Lineage: Eukaryota; Metazoa; Chordata; Mammalia; Lagomorpha; Leporidae
Source: RefSeq, a predicted model, not a curated record